This 253-nucleotide ribosomal RNA is filed under the name uncultured bacterium. RNAcentral describes it as "partial 16S ribosomal RNA". It matches the Rfam family "Bacterial small subunit ribosomal RNA", at positions 524 to 776 of the family's 1533-position model. The record is from RNAcentral.
UGCGGAGGGGACUAGCGUUGUUCGGAAUUACUGGGCGUAAAGCGCACGUAGGCGGAUUUGUAAGUCAGGGGUGAAAUCCCGAGGCUCAACCUCGGAACUGCCUUUGAUACUGCAAAUCUCGAGUCCGGAAGAGGUGAGUGGAAUUCCUAGUGUAGAGGUGAAAUUCGUAGAUAUUAGGAAGAACACCAGUGGCGAAGGCGGCUCACUGGUCCGGUACUGACGCUGAGGUGCGAAAGCGUGGGGAGCAAACAGG